RNAcentral lists this ribosomal RNA (2925 nucleotides) under Escherichia coli. Its description in RNAcentral is "partial 23S ribosomal RNA". It matches the Rfam family "Bacterial large subunit ribosomal RNA". Lineage: Bacteria; Pseudomonadati; Pseudomonadota; Gammaproteobacteria; Enterobacterales; Enterobacteriaceae. The record is from RNAcentral.
GGGUUGUGAGGUUAAGCGACUAAGCGUACACGGUGGAUGCCCUGGCAGUCAGAGGCGAUGAAGGACGUGCUAAUCUGCGAUAAGCGUCGGUAAGGUGAUAUGAACCGUUAUAACCGGCGAUUUCCGAAUGGGGAAACCCAGUGUGAUUCGUCACACUAUCAUUAACUGAAUCCAUAGGUUAAUGAGGCGAACCGGGGGAACUGAAACAUCUAAGUACCCCGAGGAAAAGAAAUCAACCGAGAUUCCCCCAGUAGCGGCGAGCGAACGGGGAGCAGCCCAGAGCCUGAAUCAGUGUGUGUGUUAGUGGAAGCGUCUGGAAAGGCGUGCGAUACAGGGUGACAGCCCCGUACACAAAAAUGCACAUGCUGUGAGCUCGAUGAGUAGGGCGGGACACGUGGUAUCCUGUCUGAAUAUGGGGGGACCAUCCUCCAAGGCUAAAUACUCCUGACUGACCGAUAGUGAACCAGUACCGUGAGGGAAAGGCGAAAAGAACCCCGGCGAGGGGAGUGAAAAAGAACCUGAAACCGUGUACGUACAAGCAGUGGGAGCACGCUUAGGCGUGUGACUGCGUACCUUUUGUAUAAUGGGUCAGCGACUUAUAUUCUGUAGCAAGGUUAACCGAAUAGGGGAGCCGAAGGGAAACCGAGUCUUAACUGGGCGUUAAGUUGCAGGGUAUAGACCCGAAACCCGGUGAUCUAGCCAUGGGCAGGUUGAAGGUUGGGUAACACUAACUGGAGGACCGAACCGACUAAUGUUGAAAAAUUAGCGGAUGACUUGUGGCUGGGGGUGAAAGGCCAAUCAAACCGGGAGAUAGCUGGUUCUCCCCGAAAGCUAUUUAGGUAGCGCCUCGUGAAUUCAUCUCCGGGGGUAGAGCACUGUUUCGGCAAGGGGGUCAUCCCGACUUACCAACCCGAUGCAAACUGCGAAUACCGGAGAAUGUUAUCACGGGAGACACACGGCGGGUGCUAACGUCCGUCGUGAAGAGGGAAACAACCCAGACCGCCAGCUAAGGUCCCAAAGUCAUGGUUAAGUGGGAAACGAUGUGGGAAGGCCCAGACAGCCAGGAUGUUGGCUUAGAAGCAGCCAUCAUUUAAAGAAAGCGUAAUAGCUCACUGGUCGAGUCGGCCUGCGCGGAAGAUGUAACGGGGCUAAACCAUGCACCGAAGCUGCGGCAGCGACGCUUAUGCGUUGUUGGGUAGGGGAGCGUUCUGUAAGCCUGCGAAGGUGUGCUGUGAGGCAUGCUGGAGGUAUCAGAAGUGCGAAUGCUGACAUAAGUAACGAUAAAGCGGGUGAAAAGCCCGCUCGCCGGAAGACCAAGGGUUCCUGUCCAACGUUAAUCGGGGCAGGGUGAGUCGACCCCUAAGGCGAGGCCGAAAGGCGUAGUCGAUGGGAAACAGGUUAAUAUUCCUGUACUUGGUGUUACUGCGAAGGGGGGACGGAGAAGGCUAUGUUGGCCGGGCGACGGUUGUCCCGGUUUAAGCGUGUAGGCUGGUUUUCCAGGCAAAUCCGGAAAAUCAAGGCUGAGGCGUGAUGACGAGGCACUACGGUGCUGAAGCAACAAAUGCCCUGCUUCCAGGAAAAGCCUCUAAGCAUCAGGUAACAUCAAAUCGUACCCCAAACCGACACAGGUGGUCAGGUAGAGAAUACCAAGGCGCUUGAGAGAACUCGGGUGAAGGAACUAGGCAAAAUGGUGCCGUAACUUCGGGAGAAGGCACGCUGAUAUGUAGGUGAAGCGACUUGCUCGUGGAGCUGAAAUCAGUCGAAGAUACCAGCUGGCUGCAACUGUUUAUUAAAAACACAGCACUGUGCAAACACGAAAGUGGACGUAUACGGUGUGACGCCUGCCCGGUGCCGGAAGGUUAAUUGAUGGGGUUAGCGCAAGCGAAGCUCUUGAUCGAAGCCCCGGUAAACGGCGGCCGUAACUAUAACGGUCCUAAGGUAGCGAAAUUCCUUGUCGGGUAAGUUCCGACCUGCACGAAUGGCGUAAUGAUGGCCAGGCUGUCUCCACCCGAGACUCAGUGAAAUUGAACUCGCUGUGAAGAUGCAGUGUACCCGCGGCAAGACGGAAAGACCCCGUGAACCUUUACUAUAGCUUGACACUGAACAUUGAGCCUUGAUGUGUAGGAUAGGUGGGAGGCUUUGAAGUGUGGACGCCAGUCUGCAUGGAGCCGACCUUGAAAUACCACCCUUUAAUGUUUGAUGUUCUAACGUUGACCCGUAAUCCGGGUUGCGGACAGUGUCUGGUGGGUAGUUUGACUGGGGCGGUCUCCUCCUAAAGAGUAACGGAGGAGCACGAAGGUUGGCUAAUCCUGGUCGGACAUCAGGAGGUUAGUGCAAUGGCAUAAGCCAGCUUGACUGCGAGCGUGACGGCGCGAGCAGGUGCGAAAGCAGGUCAUAGUGAUCCGGUGGUUCUGAAUGGAAGGGCCAUCGCUCAACGGAUAAAAGGUACUCCGGGGAUAACAGGCUGAUACCGCCCAAGAGUUCAUAUCGACGGCGGUGUUUGGCACCUCGAUGUCGGCUCAUCACAUCCUGGGGCUGAAGUAGGUCCCAAGGGUAUGGCUGUUCGCCAUUUAAAGUGGUACGCGAGCUGGGUUUAGAACGUCGUGAGACAGUUCGGUCCCUAUCUGCCGUGGGCGCUGGAGAACUGAGGGGGGCUGCUCCUAGUACGAGAGGACCGGAGUGGACGCAUCACUGGUGUUCGGGUUGUCAUGCCAAUGGCACUGCCCGGUAGCUAAAUGCGGAAGAGAUAAGUGCUGAAAGCAUCUAAGCACGAAACUUGCCCCGAGAUGAGUUCUCCCUGACUCCUUGAGAGUCCUGAAGGAACGUUGAAGACGACGACGUUGAUAGGCCGGGUGUGUAAGCGCAGCGAUGCGUUGAGCUAACCGGUACUAAUGAACCGUGAGGCUUAACCUUACAACGCCGAAG